This 780-nucleotide ribosomal RNA is filed under the name uncultured bacterium. RNAcentral's name for it is "bacterial SSU rRNA". It matches the Rfam family "Bacterial small subunit ribosomal RNA", at positions 8 to 796 of the family's 1533-position model. The record is from RNAcentral.
AGAGUUUGAUCCUGGCUCAGAUUGAACGCUGGCGGUAUGCCUAACACAUGCAAGUCGAACGAGGUAGUAAUACCUAGCGGCGGACGGGUGAGGAAUACGUAGGGAUCUGCCCUUAAGUGGGGGAUAACCCGGGGAAACCCGGAUUAAUACCGCAUGAUCUCGCAAGAGCAAAGAGGGGGACCGCAAGGCCUCUCGCUUUUGGAGGAACCUACGUCGGAUUAGCUAGUUGGUGAGGUAACGGCUCACCAAGGCGACGAUCCGUAACUGGUCUGAGAGGAUGAUCAGUCACACCGGAACUGAGACACGGUCCGGACUCCUACGGGAGGCAGCAGUGGGGAAUAUUGGACAAUGGGCGAAAGCCUGAUCCAGCAAUACCGCGUGUGUGAAGAAGGCCUUCGGGUUGUAAAGCACUUUAAGUUGGGAAGAAAAAGCUUCACCUAAUACGUGGAGCCUUGACGGUACCGACAGAAUAAGCACCGGCUAACUCUGUGCCAGCAGCCGCGGUAAUACAGAGGGUGCUAGCGUUAAUCGGAUUUACUGGGCGUAAAGCGUGCGUAGGCGGUUUGAUAAGUCGGUUGUGAAAGCCCCGGGCUCAACCUGGGAAUUGCGGCCGAUACUGUCAGACUAGAAAACGGUAGAGGGAGGUGGAACUCCAGGUGUAGCGGUGAAAUGCGUAGAUAUCUGGAAGAACACCGAUGGCGAAGGCAGCCUCCUGGGCCUGUUUUGACGCUGAGGCACGAAAGCGUGGGUAGCAAACAGGAUUAGAUACCCUGGUAGUCG